Ornithodoros turicata is the source of this 367-nucleotide long non-coding RNA. RefSeq lists it as uncharacterized. NCBI's taxonomy places the organism in Eukaryota, Metazoa, Arthropoda, Arachnida, Ixodida, Argasidae. The record is from RefSeq and is a predicted model, not a curated record. The transcript is spliced from 3 exons.
CGAACUACCCUCGCUGCCUUCACCAGCCCAACCAAGAAUCUGCAUGGCUCAAACGUGAUUCUCCAGCACAUGUGAAAUUCAAGGCUGUUGUGACUGCUCCGCUGCUCAUGAAAGACAUUGGGCAACUGUCCCCUACAACACAAACAUACGGGCUGGAGUCCUACCACAGCGUGCUGAAUACCUUUGCAUCAAAGUCUGUGGCUUUUUCUCCUGAAGGAAUGUAUGAAAGAACUUGUCUUGCGGUGCUACAUUUCAAUGAAAAUUCCUGUCGCAAGCAAGCAAGAACUCUAACCGAUGAAGAGAGGUGGAAACUGAAAGUGCCAAAAGGGAGAGGAGGGCAUGUUGUUGCCUGCUCUGUGAAAGAAGA